Protopterus annectens (West African lungfish) is the source of this 1190-nucleotide long non-coding RNA. RefSeq lists it as uncharacterized. The record is from RefSeq and is a predicted model, not a curated record. The transcript has 2 exons. Lineage: Eukaryota; Metazoa; Chordata; Ceratodontiformes; Protopteridae.
UGAAAGAAAGCACUAAUUCAACAAAAAAAGUUUUGUAGGUUAAUGAAAAAAAUCAAGAAGUAAAGUUGUUUUGUAGGCGAGUAUAAAGAUUGAGUGAGACUAUAGCUCCCAUUUAUCACAGAUGGUACCACCCUUUGCGCCCCGGGAACAUAAGGGCAAAAUUGCUAAAAGAAUUUGGGUAAAGGGGGUAUAUUUAAGCCACUGCUAAGCAAGUCCCAAACUCCAUACAGCAUCGUUUAAUAUGCAGUAUGGCGUUUUAAGAUGCAAAUCUAGGUGUAGCAUAAUUAUUCUAGAUUUUUUUUUAAACCCAAGCUUAACUGCUAGUUUGCACGUCAGAGGGGAGAAAACGAUGUAUAGGAUUAGAGACGUAGCCACACCUCUCAUCCUCUAGGCACUGGCCUUUAAAAAUCCUAACAGAGUCAAAAAUAACACGUUUUUUUCUUUCACAACAGACAGUGGUAGUGAAUUUGUGUAUAGACUCGGUUUAUGUAUUAAAAAUAUGCAUCCAUAAACAGUUCUACCCAUACCUCGGAGGAACGUUCUUCAUUUGGCGCGUUAAACACUUCGUGUUCCUCGGACUUCCACAUUAAACGUGAGAGGUUGUAGGGAGCCAGGGUCCAUAGAGUAACAUAAUGAAGAAGGCAAUGAACCAAUUCUGGACACCUAUGACCAAUUUAGAGGCUUGCCAAUUCACCUUAGCUUGUGCUUGAGUUGCGGAAUGAAACAAUCACACCCAAUUAAAGUCUACUGCAGGAGAGACCAGCAAGAUUCUCUGCAUAGAAGGCUACUUAAACAGGAUCAAAAAGUGAAAGAAUUGAACUGAGGCAGCAAUGCUAAUCAGUGCAUCCACAUGUGCCAUCAAUGCAUCCUAAAUGAUCCAUCAAUGUGAAAGACCUAUGUCUACAGUACUUGAGGGAAGAGGUAGUAAGUUGAUUUCAGGAGUAAAACAUGCAUUACUAAAGAGUUGUAUCUGGUAUAACAAUAUCUAUCCGGACAUGAUACUUCUGGAGGUGCCUACACUGAGAAUGAAGCUAGAUAGGCUCUGUAUAUAAAUAAUUGUAUUUGUAUAUACCUCAAAGCAUGAAUUCUUGGCAGUUAGAUUUUACUCUGAAAUAGAUGUAUUUUCUUAAGUUUCUGCUUUUUUUAUAUAUGUAUUUAAAGAAAAUUAAAAUGAUUUCCAUGCUACAGCA